GCGGAAGUGGUGGAAUUGGCAGACACACCAUCUUGAGGGGGUGGCGGCGCAAGCCAUGCGGGUUCAAGUCCCGCCUUCCGCACCA
RNAcentral lists this transfer RNA (85 nucleotides) under Acidobacteriota bacterium. Its description in RNAcentral is "tRNA-Leu". It matches the Rfam family "tRNA". From Rfam's summary of the family: Transfer RNA (tRNA) molecules are approximately 80 nucleotides in length. The record is from RNAcentral. Lineage: Bacteria; Pseudomonadati; Acidobacteriota. RNAcentral also lists the same sequence under 5 other names.